Molecule: small nucleolar RNA, 128 nt
Organism: Phacochoerus africanus (Common warthog)
Lineage: Eukaryota; Metazoa; Chordata; Mammalia; Artiodactyla; Suidae
Source: RefSeq, a predicted model, not a curated record
CAAUGUCAUGAGUUCAGUUCAGGGCAGUGUCCCUGGUCUGUUAAUUAAACUCUGAGACAUUGAACUGGCUGGGGUAGAUGACUGCAUCAAAAAUAUUCCUCUAUUCAUUUACCUCCCGGCUUACAAAA